UAUUUAUGAUGAUCCUGUCCUGAACCUGAAUUCCUGUUCAAAAAACAUAUUUGAAUCUGGCUUAUGAGAU
Cynocephalus volans (Philippine flying lemur) is the source of this 70-nucleotide small nucleolar RNA. RefSeq annotates it as small nucleolar RNA SNORD50. The transcript has a single exon. The record is from RefSeq and is a predicted model, not a curated record. Lineage: Eukaryota; Metazoa; Chordata; Mammalia; Dermoptera; Cynocephalidae.